Long non-coding RNA from Bos grunniens (domestic yak), 4438 nucleotides. NCBI's taxonomy places the organism in Eukaryota, Metazoa, Chordata, Mammalia, Artiodactyla, Bovidae. The record is from Ensembl.
AUGCACGCAACAAUCACCCCACAGUUUGCCCUGCCCCCAGCCUGCCCUGGGCUCUUGUCUCCCCAUCUCCUGCUGCAUUGGGGGUGCCCCCUGGUGCUCUGCAACCCCCCCGGCCCCAUCCUCGGGCUCCAGAGGGGUCAUUUCGCAUCCCCUGCCCACAGCAGCGGACAGACCUCAGGGGUGUGCCCUGGCCCCAGGCAAGGGUUUCUCCCCUCACUGGGCCACAGGCCAGCCCCCCGCAGACGCCACGCAUGCACCUGCGCAUUCUCACCCCCCCCAUCCUGGGGUGGCCACCCUGCCGACAGCCAGACUCCCCCCGCCACCUCUCCCACAGGCUGGCAUCCCCCUGGCUCAGGGUCGCAUCGCUGUGUCACUACCCCUCUGCAGCCCCCUCCUUCUUGCCAAAGGACCUAUCCCCAUAGACUGGCCUUGGGGUGGCAGGAAGGACCCUCCUGCCACCCCCACCCCCCCGGUUCUACUAUGUCUUCCAGCUAUGACUGCAGAGGGGGUCUGGUGUGAAACAAACAAAAAGACAAAACCAAACCCGAUAUAUGCAAUAUUUGUCUGUCUGUACCUGUAAGGUCUAGCUCAGCCACGGAGGCCCGGCCGGGGGGUUGACGCCAGGGGGCAGGGAUGGCCGGGGGGCACCGCGUCACAGGCCCUGUCCAAGGGGCCGGCCAUUGCUGUUGUCUUUUCUUCGGUUUUAUUUUCUCUUGUUUUCCUUUCUGCCUUCUUUUUCUUUCUCUCUUCCUUUUUUUUCCUCCAAUUUUCUCUGCCUUUAACUCUACCAAAGCCGAGACAGUAGCAGUCAGUGAAGUGUCCAGGCAAGAGACCCCGAGGCUGGGUCCACCAACCUUGGGCCCAUCCCUCCUCGCCAUCUCCGGCCCUCCCGGUCCCUGGGCCCCUUGAACAUCUCCUGUUGGCGUACGCUUGGCGGGCAGUCCCCAUUCGCUCCCUGGCCACCACCUUGGAUGUUAGAAUUGUCUCCAGAGCUGGGUGGGGCCUUGCAGCCAGACCCUGGCUUUCGUCUGCCACUCUUUGCUCACGCCAUGUUUUCUUCCAAAAAGACACCUCAGCCAGCCCCAGGGCCAGGGGGGUAGAGACCAGGCCCCGGCCUUGACCCUGCCCUUGAGAACGGCCCUUUGGCCCAAGAGCCCAAGGCCCUGCUUGUCAGUUUCCACAGGGCCCAUUUCCGGCUUUCAUACCCCCCCACCCCCGCAACCAGGGAAGUGGGGACAGUCAGUGGCACAGGGGAGUGGGUGGCACGUCCCUGUGGGACCCCUCCUCCAUAGGCUUGCCUUGGACCAUGGUGUUCUUCAUGACUGCACCCUACAGCACCCUGGGCCUCAGAGCCCCUCCCUUCCUUGCCUGCUGUGCAUCAGAAUAGGCAGAAACACUAGGAAUCAGGCUCCCACCUGCCAAUGCAGUUGGGGCUCAUGCCCUGGGAGGGAGGUGGGCAGGGUGUUGGGUGUUUUUGGUUUUUUUGACACUUAAUGAAACUGACAUCUCAAACCCCAUCCCCUCCCAAGCCCACCAUCACCCCCUCACUCAUAGCCCAUCCCAUGCAGAGUCCCCUAGCCUGACUUUGGGGUCCAGUCCUUGCUGUGGAAAAGACUAAGGGAGACCUCCCCAAUAUAUGCAGAUCACCUCCAUCGCUCUCUUUGGAUGGAGGUAGCAGACCCUGACCAGUGUGGAGAGGGAGGUGUGGAGUGGCAAGCCAGCCCCGCCCUAUCUGACCUGGGGAGGGAGGAUGGGUCCAGGGUCCCCAGUGCCCAGGUCUGGAACCCACAUUCUGGCUGGAUUAUGAGCCCCGAUUCCCACCCUGAGCUAGACAAUCAGACUGGAAGGGAACCCCAAGGGAGGCUGCAGGGAGGGGGCCCUGCUGCCGCUCCCCAAGCAGCAGUUUCAGCCUCAGCACCCCCCCACACCCCCAGCUCCGGAACUUUCCCUCUGUCCCCGGAGACAGCAGCAUUCCAGGAGCAGACACAUUUGGCUGGACAGCUACCAGUGAGGCAGGAUCCCGGGGCCAGGAGCAGCCAUCCAGCCCUCUGGGAGAGACGGGACCCCAGCCACCCACUCCCUCUGGCUUCUCUGAUGGUACUUUGACCUCCAGUGUAGGGCUAUACUAUACAUUAUAUAUAUAUGUAUAAUUUUGGAAUUUUUUUCUCAUAAUACAGAUUAUACAGUGGCUACUUUUUAUUUUGGCCUGGAGUCUCUCUCUCUUUGAGACCCCUGAUUUUUACUUUUUGUGUGUAGGGGGGUGGGUUAGGGAGAGUGAUGGGAGAGAGGUUCCAGAGACACGCCCUCAGGUCCUACAUCUCCUGCAUCCUUCCGUCUUUCUGCCCCUUCGGACACUCCCUGAGAGCCGCAUCUCCAAACUGACGCCACCUCUCCCCCUGCCACCCAUCGAUCUAUCCCUAAGCAUUUCAGAGUGUGUGGGGUCCGAGCUGGCCCCGGAGGCCCACCCCCACCCCACCCCGCUCCCCAGGUGAAGCAAGGAGACCCAAAGCAAUCCCAGCAGGACUUGUUGCCAGCGAUACCAAAACAGACUUCCCAAGCAGUGCCUCACACGUCUGCUGGUGUAGCUUUGAGGUCCUCCUUCCCGACUCCCAGGGGGUCUUCAGGCCUCAGGAAAGAGGAGGCGGGAUCCAACAGGAACAUGGGCUCCAGGAGAGGAAGACCCACUCCCCCCGCAAAUUCCCGCCCUUCACACCACCUGGCUAGAAGAAGACCCGCUGGAAAGGGGCCAGGAGCUACCCAGCCCCCCUCCGGUUGUGAGCCCCCAAAGCUCACUCCCUAAGUGCAUCAGCACCCCAGCCUCCCAUCUUGGAUCCCAGCCAGGCCCCCUGAAACCAAAGCCCCUUCCAGUCCAGGGGUCCUGGCCCCUACCCCCAUUCUCACCCUCUCCCCCUUGCCAGGGCCACACAUGGCGGGGGGCGGUGGUGGGAGGGCGAGACAGCAGGGUGUCUGAGGGACAGAACCACGUGGUCGGGGGGAGGCAACAGGGAGAAAGGAGGGAAACUCGUUUUCUCUCUGAAUUUUCUUUCUUUCUGUCUUUUUUUCUCUCACAUUUUUUGGUGGUGUUGCUGUUUCAUUUCCUGUCGCCUCGGAGAUAUAUUUUUUGAGUUUUUCCCCCCAUUUUGUAUUUUACCAAUAUUACCAGGAUAGUUUACUCUGUCUCUCGCUUUCUGCUUGCCACACAUACCGGAUCUCUCUCUCUCUCUCUCUCUCUCUCACACACACACACACACACACACACACACACACACACUGCUCAUGAACCUAUGUCAGGAGAAGGUUGGUGCCAGGCCAGCCCACUGCCCAUCUCCUUUCCCCUCUCCUCCUCCCCAAGGCAGGGAUGGGGGACAAGGAGCCGGACAUCCGGGCUGACCCAGGCCCAGCCUUCUCCUUGCCUGCUCCUCUGCCCCGUGCCCCCACAUCAUACUCCGUUCAUAACCUUGUAUAUUACGCAGUCGUUUCAGUUUGCGCGGACGCGCCUACCUAAGUACCAUUUACAGAAAGUGACUCUGGCUGUUAUUAUUUUGUUUGUUUGUUUCCCUAUGCAAAAAAAAAAAAAAAAAAAAAAAAUGAAAAAGGGGGGGUUCCAUAAAAGAUUCAAUAAAAUGCAAAAAAAAAAAAGAAAAAAGAAAAAAUGUAUAAAAAUUAAACAAGCUAUGCUUCGACUCUUUCUAGCUGUCUUGGGUCCUACUUUCUGUGUUGCGUUCAGGCUGUUCCAGGUUCUUGUCAAAGUGCAGGGAAGAGGCUGGAAGGGGAGGUAGCCUCAGAAAACCAGUCUUGGAAUUCGUCAGCACCUUUGAUCAACAAGUUCCAUGGGCAUCUAUGGAGCACCUGCUCUGUGCCAGCUCAGGUAAUUCCACCUCCUGCCUGGCUCCAGGGACAAAGCCUGGCACAUAGUCAGUGUUCCAUAAAUGUACAGACUGCCUUCCUUCCUUGUUUUUCCCCCACCUAGCAAAACCCCAUUCAUUCAGCAAAGAUUCCCUGAGUAUCUUCUGGGUACCUAGCCCUUGGGACACAAUGGAGAACAAAAUGCCCUAAAUGAUCUGCCUUCGUGGCACAGUUCAAAGUUGGGAAAACAGAAAAUAAACAAUAAAAAUAAAUGUAUGUCAGAGGAGAUAAAUGCCAGGGAGACAAAUAGAGCAGAGUACGGGAUAGGAGAGUUGGCCACAUGUGAGGAAGUAACCUUUCAACAGAAGUUUGAAUGGAGAGAAACAGCCCCUGAAAAUCUGACAGAAGAGUUUUCCAGGCAGAGGCACACACCAUGCAAAGGCCCUGGGGCAGGACUGUGCUUGGUGUGUUGGGGAACAGUGAGGUGGCCUGUGUGGCUUGGCGGAGAGAGGAGGGGCGAGAGGGAGAGGAGGGCAAGGAGGAGACAAGGCAGAUCAUUCAGGGGUUUGUGGGUCACAGGAGGACUUGGGAC